Triticum dicoccoides is the source of this 4331-nucleotide long non-coding RNA. RefSeq lists it as uncharacterized. NCBI's taxonomy places the organism in Eukaryota, Viridiplantae, Streptophyta, Magnoliopsida, Poales, Poaceae. The transcript has 2 exons. The record is from RefSeq and is a predicted model, not a curated record.
UUGAGCUCCGUAGAAACGACUCAAGAUGCCUAUAAGCAUAAAUAAUUUUGAUGCUAAGAAAUAUAUUUGGGGAUGCUUUCAUGGAACGUUGGACAGGCUCAGCAAGACGUUUUCUAAUCUUCUGUAAACCGGCUUAGAGUAAAUUGUUUGUCUUCGGCAAAAAAUGUGAUUUAUCUCUACUCCUAAUCUCUAUUUUUAAUGGAGCAGUUGGUAGGAUUGCGUCCAGCUUUUUUUUCGUCCCACCACUUCUGUCCGGUUUUUUGAUUGGUUUUUUCGUCCCCUCCCCCUAUCCCUUUUCCAUGGGUUUAUUUUCCUCUUCGCUCUUUUCUUGUAAAUCAAUACUUUUCUAAGGUAUAAAAGAUCACAGGUCUAACUUUCUUAAUCUCUACUAGUAUAUAUUAAAGUAAAAAAGGAUAUAGAUAUAUUAAUUAAACAUGGAUCAUCCAAAUAAAUCUUUUUAUACUUAUUCUAUAUAUUCAGAAUAUCACACAAAAGACACAAUUUUGAGUGAAGAAACAAAGUAUACUUGGUUUAUGUUGGAGAAGGGCGACGCUGAAAAGGGCCAAAAAUCCACCGAGUUUUUCACAACAUAAUGAUGUGGAGGCAAUGAUAUCUCAUAAAAACCAAAAAAGUAUGUCAAUUUAAAUGUUAUCGCACAAGGUAUUCUUUUCAAUGUUAUUAUCGAUCUUUCUUUCAUCAUAUUGCCUUUUGUAUUCAACCAAUUUGUCUCAUUUUAAUACAAAUUUGGCUCAUUUUUGUAUCAUGACGAUAGACUAUGUUUGUAUCCCUAGAGCUAUUACAGUCAUCGAAUCAAUCAUGUCUGCCUUAAGAAAACCAAGUUCGUGGACAUUGAAGAUGCCUUGUUAUCAAACGACGAUUUGGAAUGCUUUAUGAAGGAUGGUAUGUUCUUACAGGAUGGUGUAAGACCAAUUGCAUAAACUUUGUAAUUAAUAAUAUAAACAAUAUAUAAUAUCGUAAAACAUAUAUAUUAUGGUGAUUGUGGAAUUACAGCUGGCUCACGAUCAUCUAUGAGAUAGGGCGGGUGAAAAGGUACAUAUUACUAGCACGUUUAUUUCUGCCAGAUGAAAGAAGACGGAGAAAGAGACAUAGAAGCAUCAAAAUUUGUUAAGUGCAUCAAGUAUAUCUCAGUAAUUUUUAAUAGAUUUUUAGUUGGAUCAUCCCUUAUAUGUAUACAUUGUUAAUGUGCUAUUUUGUUAUCACUUUACAUUACAAAGUUAAGUGGACUUAAAUUAUUAUGUAAUUGGGACCGUGUUAUAGUGUCUCUAUCUUUGACGAUUUCAGAAGCCCGUGGCAACGCACGGCCAUUCUACUAGUCUCUACUCCUAAUGGAGCAGUUGGUAGGAUUGCGUCUAGGUUUUUUUCGUCCCACCACUUUCGUCCGGUUUUUUUGAUUGGUUUUUUUUUUGUCCCCUCCCCAUACCCCUUUUCCAUCGGUUUAUUUUCCUUUUCACUCUUUCCUUGUAAACCAAUACUUUUCUAAGGUAUAAAAGAUCACAAGUCUAACUUUCUUAACUUACCUAAAUCACACGAUCCCUCCCAUCAAUGCAAUUUGCUUUAAGAAAUAAAAUAACAAAUUUUAAGGAAACAAAUAACGGAAUUUAAGAAAAAACUCAAUCAACUGUUAUGAAGAGAAUCAUGACUUACCUUUUCUUCUCCAAUCCUUCCCAACCAAUCUCCGAAUCUUUAUUGUCUUCAAUUCUACUUCCUGCCUUCCCCCACGUCUUCUUUCGCAUAGCGACCGCCGCCGCUGCGCCCUCUUCUGCCGGAUCGCACAUGCUCCUGUUGUAGCCGUCUUCCACCAUACUGAAGCGGUCGUCGCCAACAGAACGCCUCAACAAGGUACAUCGCCUGCCUGCCCUGCCGCCGGUGGGGCUUGCGCGCUCACCGGCGGCACAUCAACAGCAUGCCGCCACUGCAGGGACCCAACGCUGCGCAACCCAACCCGGCUUGCUUCGCCACCCCUUCCCCUCCGUCUUCCUCUCCUCCGGUCAGUGCAGUGCUACUGCCGCCACGGACGGGAUCGUGCAACUCGAUCAAUUCCCAGCAGGAUCCAUUCCUCGCACUGACGCGCACGUCGGAGCCGCUCGAAUGCGGAUGCGGACGGCCUCGCCCUCUCGCUAACCGAACCGAGCUCCAUCCCAUCGCGUCCCCUUUCUCUCCGGCUAGCUAUACUUCUCCGGCGACUAAAGACGUCUUUUUUCCCACCGAGACGAGACGAGACGACCUCGUCUCCUUCCUCUCCUCCGCUCAAUCACUGCCGACGCCACGAUGGACGAGAUUGUCCAGCGAUCCGAUUCCAGCGACUCGGUUUUUCGAUCGCGCGUCUCCUCACGAAUCCUUCCCCUUUUUCUUCUCCCGGCCGAUUACAAUUUAUAUAGAGAGUGGCAAUUCGGUGCUCGAGCUCAGCUGCACCUCAUAUCUUGUUCGUUGGCUGAUGCGUUGGGAUUGGGAAAAGAGGGACAGAUGUGUCAGAGCUAGUUCGACUGAAAAGCGGAAUACGGCUGGGCAGUGCUCUGGCAGAAGAGGGCGCAGCUGCACCUCAUAUUUUGUUCGAGCUCAGCUGCACCUCAUAUUUUGUUGCAGUCCUAAGCAAACUGAGUUAGCUGUUCACUCGUUACAGGCUACGGCUGGGCAGUGCUCUGCCGGAUAAAACUCCAUGCCCAUCGACAGUUCCUGAUUCAGUCAAUACCGAUGUCUCAAUACUGAUGUAAAUGUUCAAUCACUUGAGAAAAAUGUUUACAACUCGUCGACGGUUCCUGAUUCAGUCAAUUUAAAUGCUGAUGCACAUCAAUUUAUCAGCACAAACAUUUUUUAGGGACUGUUUUGUCCAGACAUAUGGUUCUCAUUUCCAUAAAAUUUCACCAAAAUUGCAUAUCAUUUAGUAGGCAUAAGAAUAAGAAUAUAUAUAUAUAUAUAUAUAUAUUUCGCUCGAAAUGGCAUUGCGGCAAAAUAUUUAAGUGAACCUGAAUUUGAGCAGAAUUAAAAUAGCACACAAAUUUCAUCCAACUCUGGUUCAGUCAAAUUUAAGUCAGAAUUUUUGUCACUCAGCCAAACUGAACUGAAAUAACAAUGCAGUUGAUUCCAGUGAUGGCCCAAUUCUGAUUGCAAUCAAGAAAAUGAGCUGUGAUAAAACAUUUCAUAGAUCCAAAGUACAUUAUGGUCAACUGUAUUUCCUCGUCAUAGAAUAUCUUUAGGGCUUGUUCGGUUAAUCCUCUCCCCAAGAGGAUUGGAGGGGAUUGGCAAGGAUUGGUUUGUAUUUUGACUUACAAGAGGUUUAAAUCCCCCUCAAACCCCUUCAAUCCACUCGGUUUGGCACGCAACCGAACGAGGCCUUAGUGGAUUGUUAAGCAUUGCGACUUCUUUUUAUUAUCUUUAUCAUUAUUCUUUGUUGCUAUUGCUGCUAAUGCACAUUAUAUUUUCUUAAAACACUUGCUUCUUGGGUUGAUCCAUGAGGAUGAUGGUGCAGCAGCCAUUGUACUUAAGAACUUAAAGGCUGAUCUCGGCAACAUACGCAACGAGGUUAUCAGAAUGAUUGCUGACAUGUCUGAAGAUCAAACAUGUAAAGACAGCUAUCGCGGAAGGCCUUGCGUAGCACAUUGCCACCUGGGAUGUGCCUGAAACAGUUGAAGGGAAAACGAUUUGUGUCCAUUGCAUCUCUUGUGCUAAAUAUCUUAUCCUAGAGUAACUCAGGUUAAUAUUAGUUUGACGUUGUUCCGAACAGAUUUUCUAAUUCCAGUGAUAAUCAUUGUAUUCAUGGCUCUUGUCUCUUAACAAAAUUGAUGUGCAAGUUCUAGCCGGUUCCAAUCAAGCUAAUGGCUUUUCUGCUGGUACUUUGAUGGCUUAAUUAAUUAGGAGGAUCGAUACCUCAAAAAGGAGUUCGUGUGCAGAACCAAGAAGCAGAGAUGAAGAGGCGUCAAGAAAGAGGAACUCAGAUGAGAAAUUCUGAAUUUUCAAUGCUCAUUUCAUGUAUUUAAUAUUCUGAAAUAUUGAAGAUCUGUACUUUUGGUUAUUAAUAUGUGUUUAGAAUAAUUAUUCAAAGUAAAAUCUGUGUUUAGAAUAACUGUGUUCACCUUCUAUACCUAGAAUAACUAUUCACAGUAAUAUCUUGAUGUGUAUAGCAGCUAGUAUGCAAAGUUGAUCAUGGUGCUACCGGGAGGCGCUCGCAAUGUUUUGUCCUCCGUUGACCAUAUCAGCUUGUAAAAUCAAUACAGUACAGACCAAGCAAUACUGCAUAUUGGCCUUUCCUGACAGAUGUUUGUUGUUCAGUUUAUAAAAAAGUUUGCCAACAAAAUUAUUCAGUGGCAAGACUA